GACGAACGCUGGCGGCGUGCCUAAUACAUGCAAGUUGAGCGAUGAAGAUUGGUGCUUGCCCCAAUUUGAAGAGCAGCGAACGGGUGAGUAACGCGUGGGGAAUCUGCCUUUGAGCGGGGGACAACAUUUGGAAACGAAUGCUAAUACCGCAUAAUAACUUUAAACAUAAGUUUUAAGUUUGAAAGAUGCAAUUGCAUCACUCAAAGAUGAUCCCGCGUUGUAUUAGCUAGUUGGUGAGGUAAAGGCUCACCAAGGCGAUGAUACAUAGCCGACCUGAGAGGGUGAUCGGCCACAUUGGGACUGAGACACGGCCCAAACUCCUACGGGAGGCAGCAGUAGGGAAUCUUCGGCGAUGGACGAAAGUCUGACCGAGCAACGCCGCGUGAGUGAAGAAGGGUGUCGGAUCGUAAAACUCUGUUGGUAGAGAAGAACGUUGGUGAGAGUGGAAAGCUCAUCAAGUGACGGUAACUACCCAGAAAGGGACGGCUAACUACGUG
This 497-nucleotide ribosomal RNA is filed under the name uncultured bacterium. RNAcentral describes it as "partial 16S ribosomal RNA". It matches the Rfam family "Bacterial small subunit ribosomal RNA", at positions 28 to 507 of the family's 1533-position model. The record is from RNAcentral.